CACGUAGUUAGCCGGGGCUUCCUCGAAGGGUACCGUCAGGCUAGGGGCUAUUAACCCUUCGCCCUUCGUCCCCAACAACAGAGCUUUACGACCCGAAGGCCUUCCUCGCUCACACGGUGUUGCUGCGUCAGGCUUUCGCCCAUUGCGCAAGAUUCCCGACUGCUGCCUCCCGUAGGAGUCUGGGCCGUGUCUCAGUCCCAGUGUGGCUGAUCAUCCUCUCAGACCAGCUAUCCAUCGUCGCCUUGGUGGGCCGUUACCCCACCAACUAGCUAAUGGACCGCGGGCCCAUCCCUCACCGGAUGGCCGAAGCUACCUUUCCUCUACUUACCAUGCGAUAUGUAGAGCUUACGGGGUAUUAGCCGGAGUUUCCCCCGGUUGUCCCCCUGUGAGGGGCAGGUUGCCCACGUGUUACGCACCCGUUCGCCACUUUACUCACCCCGAAGGGCUUUCUCGUUCGACUUGCAUGUCUAAAGCACACCGUCAGCGUUCGUCCUGAGCCAGGAUCAAACUCU
RNAcentral lists this ribosomal RNA (512 nucleotides) under uncultured Rubrobacter sp. RNAcentral describes it as "partial 16S ribosomal RNA". The record is from RNAcentral. Lineage: Bacteria; Bacillati; Actinomycetota; Rubrobacteria; Rubrobacterales; Rubrobacteraceae.